GGCACUAUAGCCAAGUGGUUACGGCGAUAGAUUCGAAGGCUUGUUUAUCUAUUACUCUCUGAGUGUGCAGGUUCAAAUCCUGCUGGUGUCG
Non-coding RNA from Armillaria borealis, 91 nucleotides. The record is from the annotation of a GenBank genome assembly. Lineage: Eukaryota; Fungi; Basidiomycota; Agaricomycetes; Agaricales; Physalacriaceae.